This is a small nuclear RNA of Bubalus bubalis (water buffalo), 107 nucleotides long. The record is from RefSeq and is a predicted model, not a curated record. Lineage: Eukaryota; Metazoa; Chordata; Mammalia; Artiodactyla; Bovidae.
GUGCUCACUUCAGCAGCACAUACACUAAAAUUGGAACAAUACAGAAAAAAUUAGCAUGGCCCUUGUGCAAGGAUGACACGCAAAUUUAUGAAGCAUUUCAUAAUUUU